This is a small nuclear RNA of Chiloscyllium plagiosum (whitespotted bambooshark), 185 nucleotides long. RefSeq annotates it as U2 spliceosomal RNA. Lineage: Eukaryota; Metazoa; Chordata; Chondrichthyes; Orectolobiformes; Hemiscylliidae. The record is from RefSeq and is a predicted model, not a curated record.
AUCACUUCUCGGCCUUUUGGCUAAGAUCAUGUCUGUUCCUGUCAGUUUUAAUAUCUGAUACAUCCCUGAAUUAGGGAGUAAAUAUUUAUCUGAUUUUUGCAGGAAGAUGUUGGUUUAGGAGCUUGCUCAACCAACUUCGCACAUCGUCCUGGUGUUUCAGUGUUUCUGGGAAUGGUGCACCCCUC